This 77-nucleotide transfer RNA is filed under the name Clostridia bacterium. Its description in RNAcentral is "tRNA-Arg". It matches the Rfam family "tRNA". From Rfam's summary of the family: Transfer RNA (tRNA) molecules are approximately 80 nucleotides in length. Their secondary structure includes four short double-helical elements and three loops (D, anti-codon, and T loops). Lineage: Bacteria; Bacillati; Bacillota; Clostridia. The record is from RNAcentral.
CCGCCUGUGGCGCAGCUGGAUAACGCAGCAGAUUCCGAUUCUGAAGAACGGAGGUUCGAAUCCUCUUAGGCGGGCCA